UGUCAGCUUCCCCCAUCACACCGGAGGCUGUUACGUCAUUCUGUUGUAUCAGCUCCAGCUGUGAUGAGUGAAGAGGCA
Molecule: microRNA precursor, 78 nt
Filed under: Branchiostoma belcheri (Belcher's lancelet)
Lineage: Eukaryota; Metazoa; Chordata; Leptocardii; Amphioxiformes; Branchiostomatidae
Description: mir-4868 microRNA precursor family
Rfam family: mir-4868 microRNA precursor family
Source: Rfam by way of RNAcentral